AACGAACGCUGGCGGCAUGCCUAACACAUGCAAGUCGAACGAUUGCCUUCGGGUGAUAGUGGCGCACGGGUGCGUAACGCGUGGGAAUCUGCCCUUAGGUUCGGAAUAACGGCUGGAAACGGCUGCUAAUACCGGAUGAUAUCGCGAGAUCAAAGAUUUAUCGCCUGAGGAUGAGCCCGCGUUGGAUUAGGUAGUUGGUGGGGUAAAGGCCUACCAAGCCGACGAUCCAUAGCUGGUCUGAGAGGAUGAUCAGCCACACUGGGACUGAGACACGGCCCAGACUCCUACGGGAGGCAGCAGUGGGGAAUAUUGGACAAUGGGCGCAAGCCUGAUCCAGCAAUGCCGCGUGAGUGAUGAAGGCCCUAGGGUUGUAAAGCUCUUUUACCCGGGAAGAUAAUGACUGUACCUGGAGAAUAAGCCCCGGCUAACUCCGUG
This 435-nucleotide ribosomal RNA is filed under the name uncultured bacterium. RNAcentral's name for it is "partial 16S ribosomal RNA". It matches the Rfam family "Bacterial small subunit ribosomal RNA", at positions 29 to 507 of the family's 1533-position model. The record is from RNAcentral.